UACGUAGGGUCCGAGCGUUGUCCGGAAUUAUUGGGCGUAAAGAGCUCGUAGGCGGCGUGUCGCGUCUGCUGUGAAAGACCGGGGCUUAACUCCGGUUUUGCAGUGGAUACGGGCAUGCUAGAGGUAGGUAGGGGAGACUGGAAUUCCUGGUGUAGCGGUGAAAUGCGCAGAUAUCAGGAGGAACACCGGUGGCGAAGGCGGGUCUCUGGGCCUUACCUGACGCUGAGGAGCGAAAGCAUGGGGAGCGAAC
Molecule: ribosomal RNA, 250 nt
Filed under: uncultured Actinomycetes bacterium
Lineage: Bacteria; Bacillati; Actinomycetota; Actinomycetes
Description: uncultured actinobacterium partial 16S ribosomal RNA
Rfam family: Bacterial small subunit ribosomal RNA
Source: RNAcentral